AGUGAACGCUGGCGGUAGGCCUAACACAUGCAAGUCGAACGGCAGCACAGUAAGAGCUUGCUCUUACGGGUGGCGAGUGGCGGACGGGUGACGAAUAUAUCGUAAUCUACUUUUUCGUGGGGGUUCACGUAGGGGAACUUACGCUAAUAUCGCAUACCACCUACCGGUGAAAGCAGUGGAUCUUCGCAGCUUGCGCGGUUGGAUGAGCCGAUGUCGGAUUAGAUAGUUGGCGGGUUAAAGGCCCACCAAGUCGGCGAUCCGUAGCUGGUCUGAGAGGAUGAUCAGCCACACUGGAACUGAGACACGGUCCAGAGUCCUACGGGAGGCACCAGUGGGGAAUAUUGGGCAACGGGCGCAAGCAUGAUCCAGCCAGAGCGAGUGGGAGAAGACGGCCUUCGGGGUGUAAAGCCCUUUUGUGGGGAAAGAAAAGCAGCAGGUUAAUACGAAGCUGUUCUGACGGUAACGAAAGAAUAAGCACCGGCUAACUACGUG
RNAcentral lists this ribosomal RNA (492 nucleotides) under uncultured bacterium. RNAcentral describes it as "partial 16S ribosomal RNA". It matches the Rfam family "Bacterial small subunit ribosomal RNA", at positions 29 to 507 of the family's 1533-position model. The record is from RNAcentral.